CUGCGGAGGAUCAUUACCAGAGAGGAGCC
This 29-nucleotide ribosomal RNA is filed under the name Stereocaulon octomerellum. Its description in RNAcentral is "partial 18S ribosomal RNA". The record is from RNAcentral. Lineage: Eukaryota; Fungi; Ascomycota; Lecanoromycetes; Lecanorales; Stereocaulaceae.